CCAGCUUUCUUGAGUUGCGCAGGUUUCCCAAAAUGCUUUGAUUUUAUCGAGCAGUUUUGCCUGUAUUCUCUUAUAUUUUCAAGCAGCUUUGGCUUUUCUCUAACACUGUGUUAUCUACAUUGGUUUGAUGUGCUAUUUUGAAACAAUUGCUGUAAGGAGCUUUUUCUCCAUUCGAGGAUAUACAUAUAUGCUGCAUCUUUUUGAUGCAGGUUACUUUUUGGCCCUCCAUUAUGGGUCGUAAUUUUGCUAUUUUUACUUCACCUGCUUGUUUUAAGGGGGCCGCUAGUUUCUUGUGGUUGGUUUGGAUGUCUGGAUCGUUCUCUUGGCUCGGAUGGUUCUUUGGAAUAGGUUUUGGUUUUGAGGAUUAUGCAGGUCUUGGAAUAUUGGAGUUUAUGCUAGUUUUUUGGAAUAUUGGAGCAGCUUUUUUAAAUGUUAGUUUGACAGUAACAGCUAUAGCCCUACUACCCUUUUUAAAUUGUUCUUUACAGAAAUAAAAAGUGUUUUGUUUUUAUUAUUGUUGAUUGUAUUAUUAGUGGAUAAGAACCUUUUUGCCCCACUUUGGUUUUAUUGUACAAUGUUUUAACACGAUAUUACAUGUUGAGUUACUCUGUUUAACCAUAAAUUCCUCCUCUAGUUCCAACAUGGCUAAGACGAAUGAAGGUGGACCGUCAGCUAUUUGGGAUAAAGAAGUUACAAAUAUUUUCUGCAAUCUCUAUAUUAUAAAAAAUGAAAUCGGAAAUAGACCAAUCACGUAGUUCAACAAGGAAGAUCGGCAAAAUAUUACAAAAAAAAUUCAAAGAAUUGACGGGAAGGGAUUACAGCAGCUCAAAUUUAAAAAUAAAUGUGAUCAAUUGAAAGAGUGGAAAAUUUGGAAGGAGCUGAAAAGUGGAUCCAUCGGGCUGAGUUGGGAUCCUGUUAACUGAACUAUCGAUGCUCUGAAUGAAUGAUGGAUUGAGAAAUUGAAGGCCAUGCCAACCGCCAAGAAAUAUAGGCAGUGCGGAAUUGAGCCGGAGUUCGAAGAAAAACUCGACAUUAUGUUUAAGGUGGUUGUCACGACUGGAAAACAUGCAUUCAACUCAAGUGAGAUGGCCGAUUUAGUGUUCUUAUCUUGUGUUGAAUGUGUAUUCCUAAAGAAUGCAACCGAUAUCCUUCAUUGUUUUUGGUGCAUCCGCUUAUGAGGAUUUAUCUGAUGGUCUUUUUUUGGUGAUAUACACAUCUGGCACAGGAUGAUCGUCCUUGUGGGUUAAAGGCAACCAAGAACUCAUUUUUUUGAAGGCCCACUGUCGCCAUUCUGUGACAGACACUAGCAACAUGAACUCUAGGAUUUCAGGGACCUCCCGAGUUGUGUUGUGUUACUGCGAACUACCAGCUCCCUUACUCACGUCACGCCAGCUUCAUAGCAGUGGGAGACAGUUCUACAGUUGUCAGAUGGGUGUUUUAACAUGAUGUGAUUUCUUUCGUUGGGCCGACAUUCCGACAUACUCCUAUGUCGACUGUGAUCGUGGUACGAUGGUUUCCCAAGAGGACAGUGCCACUGAGGACAGACGACGUCAGAGUUUUAAAUUGAACAUUUUAAUUUGUUUACUCUUAAUUGUAAUUAUAUUUCUUUUUUUUUACUCACGAAAUUGUGAGCAUUGUAUUUUAAUUUUUGUAACUAAACUGUAAUAGUUCGAGACAUCUGUUUUAUUUAUUAUUGUCCAUAUACAGUUCUGUUGCAAACA
Molecule: long non-coding RNA, 1721 nt
Organism: Phalaenopsis equestris
Lineage: Eukaryota; Viridiplantae; Streptophyta; Magnoliopsida; Asparagales; Orchidaceae
Exons: 3
Source: RefSeq, a predicted model, not a curated record